Molecule: long non-coding RNA, 213 nt
Filed under: Vitis vinifera (wine grape)
Lineage: Eukaryota; Viridiplantae; Streptophyta; Magnoliopsida; Vitales; Vitaceae
Description: long non-coding RNA (VVIN_LNC007946)
Source: RNAcentral
AUGAACAAGUGGUCUACGUGAUUAUCCCCAACAUUAAAUUUCUAUUUUAUCUAUAAAUUCAAUUAAUAUUCCAAUAUCAAUAAUGGUCAAGUCUUCAUCAAUCUCAUGCACAAGAUUUCUAAUUGCACAAAUAGACAUAGUAAUAAUAGCAAUUCAUAUAAACAAAAAGCUCUAGCCCAAAUAGUUUGUGUUGACCAUAAAGUUGCCUCCUCG